This is a long non-coding RNA of Peromyscus eremicus (cactus mouse), 757 nucleotides long. RefSeq lists it as uncharacterized. NCBI's taxonomy places the organism in Eukaryota, Metazoa, Chordata, Mammalia, Rodentia, Cricetidae. The record is from RefSeq and is a predicted model, not a curated record. The transcript is spliced from 4 exons.
ACCCUAACUGUCAUCAUAGUUUAUCCAGUAACUGAUGGAAGCAGAUGCAAAGAUCCACAGCCAAGCACCAGGCCGAGCUCCAGGAGUCCAGUUGAAGAGAGUGAAGAGGGAUUCUAUGAGCAAGGGCAUCAAGAUCAUAAUGGGGAAACCUACAGAGACAACCAAACCAAACUAAAAGGUCCCAGAUCUCCAGUGCAAGUGACGUGCACUCUAAGGCCUUCUUUGAAGCAGUGGCAAACUGAAAGAACUUCCCACAUAGCCUAAGCAGCUGCCCUGCUGAAACUUGAGAGCAGCACUACAACUUUUUUCAAGAUGUAUAUGCAGAAUUUUCUGGAUUCAAAUAAGUCAGCCAAGAAUACAUGUCUCCCCCUCAAAGAGUCCUGCCAUGUACCACUACAGUUUCAGCUUACUAAAUUAUGACUUCUACAAAGAAAUAAAUACUCAUCCACAGAAAGCAAAUCAGCAAUCACAUCUCUCUUCUCAGAUGGUUCAUCCAAAGCUAAUGUAGAUGCAGAUUUCACAGGGUAGCUCAAAACUUUCUCUCCCUUUCUCCCUCUCUCUUUCCCUCAGUCCCUCCCCUCUCUCAGAUACAUCAGGACACAUUGGCCAUGACAGAGGAUCACAAAAGGUGAGCAUCAAGUAUGGGUAUCUCAUCACUCUACAGCAAUAUCGAGAAGGCUAGCAUAGCCCUGUAAGCCACUCCGCUUCUACAGCUGUCUCUACUGAAUCUCAAUUAAAAAUAGCUGUUUAAAUCACC